RNAcentral lists this unclassified non-coding RNA (3258 nucleotides) under Pomacea canaliculata. RNAcentral describes it as "probable 3',5'-cyclic phosphodiesterase pde-5, transcript variant X11". The record is from RNAcentral. Lineage: Eukaryota; Metazoa; Mollusca; Gastropoda; Architaenioglossa; Ampullariidae.
UUGACUUCGCCACUACGCCAUGUGCAUGACCUCCCCUUCUUUAUCCAGUGGCGACGCUUUCACGUCUGCUACGGGAUCCGCCUCGUCAGCGCUCGACACAGGGCUUUCCUGGCGUGACACGACUGACUCGCAGUUCGGGGUGGUGAUAUGGUGGUGGUUGUAGAGGGUGGAGGCCAGUGGGACUGUUGUGUGGGAAGCUUUGCGUCAGUCGGUGCCGUGAAAAGGACCAGCGACGAGAAACAAACUUAGUUGACCGUUUCCUACACUGCAGCGGUUGUCACCGUGUUGUUACCCUGUCGAUGCAUUGAGCAGCGGAGACCUAAGCGACACGACUGAAGCUGUCUACUUUUCUGAAGUUUCCAUGGCAACGAUCAGCUCAUUUCUGCUUUGUUGCUGCUGUGCCAUCGAACGCUUAUUGGCGAGAGGGCGCAGGUGUCUGUAGGGGGUAGCACGCGCUGGCCUCCCGUGGGGCCUACAGUCUCCGCCAGACGUCGCCCUGAAGCUGAAUCCGUCUCCGUCAGAGAUCGCCACGGACCGAGCGACAGCACACCUGAUGAUCUCGCCACACAUUUACCUCGCGUCCACGACAUCACGUGACAACGGGAAGUAAAUAACUAUUGUGAUGUAAACAUCAAGCACACGAUACCAUGUCCAGCCCGGUCCGUCAGAUUGCUAGUCGCCGUCUGCCACCCUUACAGGGGGCUGGGGCAAACACCCGGCUGUCCUCCAACCGCUGGAGGCCACGGAUACCCCACAACUCAUCUGACCCCCGCAGGGGAGCUCACCGCAGCCACCAGUCGCAGACCCUACAGGAUAUGUUUGUCACAGGUUACAGCGUCGUCAGCCAGGCGCCUCACGUCAUUUCCGGUCAUGGCUAUGCCUAUGGCAUCGCCAACGGGGACGACCUCAGGCCUCAAGAUCUUACUCCAGAGCUUGUGACUCAAUACCUACAGCAAAACCCAGAAUUCUUAGAACAUCACGUGACCGCAUACGUCAACACCGAGCAGAUUGAACGUUGGUUGCAGAGAAAGACCAACGUUAGUUCUCGGGCAGGGAACAGGUAUCGACUGGAUCAUCAUACACUCAAUGAAUGCCAGGGUUGUGUUCCUUGUAAAACACUCAGACAUGAUACUGUGUCUUUGACAGGGGAAGUCACUACUGAGGCAAGGACUUCAUCUCUUUCAAAAUGGAAGUCUCGCAUCCAGUCAAGCAAAGGGAGAGUAUUACAAGAACUAUCAAAGGAAAUGAACCAACAGCAUGGCAAACUGGCGGUUUUGUUAGAGCUGUCUGCCUGUGUGUCCGCUGCGGUGUGUGCGGAUGGUCACAACCUGUACGCAGUGGACGAAAACAAAGAGGAAAUAAGUCAUAUAUUUACAGAUAGUAGCGGCCAGAUAGUACAGGGGCGAACUGAGAAGACGAGGUACCGAGCGACUGUGGCAUCACAUGUGGCCUACUCCAAGGAACCUGUGAGGUUAAAGGACUUGGCCAUGGACAGGCGAUUUCCCGACGGCCUUGGUGUCGGCAGCAACAGGGCGCACUCUGUGUUGGCACUCCCCAUAACUGAUGGCAACUGUGUUGUGCUCGGUGCUGUAGAGUUCUACAGGUAUUCCAAGUACAGCCAUUUUACUGAAGAAGAAGAGGAGGUUGCUGUCUACAUGUUUUUAUGGGCCGACAUGUUUGUGGCCUACAUGGAGAUGCACAACAGCAUGACAAGACAGAGAAAACUAAACGAAUUUUUGCUGGCCGUUACGAAGUCUGUUUUCCAGGACAUUGUGAGUAUGGACUCCGUCAUCAUGAAGAUCAUGAAUUAUGCUCAGAAACUGGUCAGUGCUGACCGUGCCUCCUUAUUUCUCCUUGACCACAAGUCCAGAGAGCUGUACGCACGCAUUUUCGACGUGGGUAGCGCUCAGGGCUUUGUCUCAGACGAGCGCCAGCACAAGGAGAUAAGGUUUCCCAUGGAUAAGGGAGUGGCAGGCCAUGUGGCAUCAACAGGAGAGGUUCUGAACAUCAAAGACGCCUACAGUGACAACAGGUUCAACAGGGAUGUGGACCUCCAGACCGGCUAUCGAACACAGACCAUCCUCUGCAUGCCUAUCUACAUCCGGGGCAGCAUCAUCGGCGUGGUGCAGAUGGUCAACAAGUUGUCGGGAUCUUUCACUCGCAAUGACGAAGAAGCCUUCGAGACUUUCGCCAUCUACUGCGGGCUGGCUCUCCACCACGCAAAGUUGUACGACAAAGUACGACGGUCCGAACAGAAAUACCGGGUGGCCUUGGAGGUGCUGUCCUACCACAGCCAGUGCACGGAACAAGAACUGAACGCUCUGAAGGCUGAGCCUAUUCCAGACAACAUCCCCAGCAUAACAGAUUACACUUUUUCACCGUGGUCUGUGGAGGACAAUAAGAAGCCGCUGCAAGUGCUGUAUAUGCUCCGAGACCUCUUCAGUCCUAUGAGAACAUCUAAUCGAGAACAAAGGUUCGACACCACGGACCUGAUGCGCUUCACGUUGACAGUGAGGAAGAACUACCGCAAUGUACCCUACCAUAACUGGGUGCACGCCUUCUCCGUGGCGCACUCCAUGUACACCGUGGUCAAGACCUGUCAGCACCAGCUCACGCACCUAGAGUGCCUGGCCCUCUUCGUGGCCUGUCUGUGCCAUGACCUUGACCAUCGAGGCAAAACCAACGCUUUCAUGGUCAAGAGUGCUACCCCUUUGGCUGCUGUCUACUCCACGUCAACGAUGGAGCAUCACCACUUCAACCAGACGGUCACCAUCUUGCAGCACGAGGGUCACAACAUCUUCAAGCACCUUACAUCGGAUGAGUAUAAGAAGGUGCUUAGUGACAUCAGACACUGUAUCCUGGCAACGGAUCUGGCUUUGUUUUUUCCCAACCGCGCACGGCUCAAAGACAUCGUCGCUAAACAAGGUUUUUCCUGGAAUGCCGAUGAACACAGGCAGCUCUUACGUGCCAUUACAAUGACUGCGUGCGACCUGUGCGCCAUGACUAAAUCCUGGCACGUGCAGAUCGAGACGGUCAAGGUCAUCUACGCAGAGUUCUAUGAGCAGGGACUUGCUUAUGGGCAUCUCAAUGACCGCUUGUGAUCUGUGUGCAAUGUACAAGCCCUGGCGAACCCAGCUCGACCUCGUCUAUGUCAUAAUGGAGGAGUUUUGGCAACAGGGUGACGAGGAGAAGCUGAAGGGUAUGACCCCCAUGGCGAUGAUGGACAGGGACAAAAAAGACGAACUGCCGCAGCUGGAG